UUAACUUCUGUAUUUUUAAAUGGUCAACACAAAGAUAUAUUUUUCUAUUCAGGAAAAAUAAUAACUACGAGGAUUCUUUUUUAGGGUGUGGAAGUUACCCUUUAAAUAGAGCUGGGAACGGCAGCAAAUCUGUUCCCUUCGAGAACAUUUCUUGUCCUCUUAGGAGCACAUUUUAGAAACCCAGUCUCUCUGAGGACAGAGCGGCUGAGGGGACUGCGGUGAGUGUCUGUGCUUGCAGCCUGUCCUGCAGUAGACCUAAGACCGCGGGCAUAGGCGUCCUGCCAGGGAGGGCUCCCCUCCAGAUGCCACUCCAACCCCGGGGGCAUCCCUGGGCCGUGGCAGGAGCUCCGUGGACUUGCUUCCUUCUUCUCAUCCGAGGCGCUUUGAAGGAGACCUGAGUGGGAGAACUGUGAUGUCUACUGGGAAUGUUUCCCAGCUCUGCUGGAGUCGCUGGCCCACAUCUGUCCCCGAGGCAUUGGCUUCUGCGUCUUCCCACCAACCUUCUGAUCAGCCCCACCCCUAAGCACAUGCUGUUAGGGACCUGUGAAAACCAACUGCGGUAGGAGUUGGAAAUAAUUCAAAAGCUCUGAGAAAAGGGUAUCCCAAAAUACUUAUAUAAAUAUGUGGCCAUGCUCUCUAGAAGUUGCUGGUGUAAACUUCAACCAUAACCACUCUUGGAUGAUUAUGUGAGACAUUUUGGUGGAUGUUGGAGAGAAGAGGAUGAUGGGAAGACAUUUUCUCCGCAUAAAGUCUUGUGGGAGAUGAAGCAUUCACUCUUCCCUGACAUCUUUAGGGAAAAAAGGAAAAAAGGAAAAGUUGCGUGACUGUAAAACACCGGUGCUCCUCCCCUUUCUUCUGAUUGCAUCUCGGCUGCCCGCUCGCUCGGUUGUUCUAGGCCAAGGCAUCAGCGGCUGGUGGCCAAAAAGGCAGCGUGAGGAACGUGACGACCCAAGCCUGAGCAGCGGAGUCAGAAACAGUUUUGUCUACAGAAAUACCUAAAGAGGUGAAGGUCGGGAGCUACAGAAGGCUGAAGAGCUGGUUCCAUCAUGGUUGCUUCUUAAAUGCAGAUGACAGCUGAGUGACAUGUCCCACAUUGUUCUUCUCUCCCUCCUCCCCGUCUGGGGAUCUGGCUGGCCUUUUUUCUGGUUAAACUAGAUUAACUCUGAUGACUCUGGGGCGAUGCUUUAAGAACAAAUGGAUAGCCAUACCAACACUAAGCUUGACCUUGGGCCCAUGGGCUGUUCAGUUUGUGCUGGGACUCACAACCCUGAUCUGGAGUGACCUUUUCUCCCCGUGAUGGUGACAGGAUCCAGAAUCUCAGGAACAGCGCAGCAGUGAGUGCAGCUUUUGAGCUGGUUCUAGCGGUGAAUCAUAACACACCCCCUUCAUUUCCUCCCAAACAAUUCUCUUCAUUUCUUCCUUGAGAUGAAUGUUUAGAAAGAACAGAGAUCUGUGUUAGGAAGAGCUUGGCUACAAAAGGCUCCUGUGGCAAAGAGAUGUUAUGAACAAAUAAAUGGAUAAAGAAUAUGUGGAUCAUAUACAAAAUGAAGUUUCAUUUA
Molecule: non-coding RNA, 1559 nt
Organism: Peromyscus maniculatus bairdii (prairie deer mouse)
Lineage: Eukaryota; Metazoa; Chordata; Mammalia; Rodentia; Cricetidae
Source: RefSeq, a predicted model, not a curated record